ACUGCAAAAACGCACGAUCUUUACACGUUAUUAUAUCGGUUUACAUUUGCAGGUACCCGUUAAAUACGAUAAUUGUGUAGCAGUAAAUUUCUACACUAUUUUAAAUGUAUUGUCAUUAUAAAACACUUAAGUGUUAUGUUUAAACUGGCUUAUAUAUAUAUACUUAAUAGUUCCUGUUAAUCCAUUUCGAACAAAUGUACGUCUAUUUUUUAAAUAUGUUCAAAUGUUUUAUUAAAGCAACUGUUAAGUUUUUGGCUUAAUAUGCCCAGAGAUGACACGGAGGUAUCAUAAAUUGUGUUUAAUGACCAGACACAUGUGGUUAAUGACCCCAUACUGAGUCAUACAAAUAUGGGUCCCUGGGUUUAUGACACCCUGUUUUCUUAGUUAUUGUCUGGACAGUAUCCGAUCAUAUCGAGAUAAUCGGUUUGUGAUGAGCAAAGGGGCAAUUAAACAAUGGGUGGUCAAAAUUGGUGUAAACAAUUAAAUAAAAACAUUUACAUGUAUCAAGAGGAUUUAGUUAAUCUGUAACAAGUGACGCUAGCGGGGACUGGCGGGGCCAACUUCCGAGGCUUUUUGUGUCAGGCACGUGCCGCCAUCGACAGCGACACGACCGUGGGGACACUUGCCGAUGACGACGCCACCGUUACGUUCGCAAACAAUUGUGGCGCGGGAUCGAUUACCCAUUCAGAGAACCGUGACAAGGGAUCCGCAAAGUUCAGGUGGACUCCUUCCAGUGAAACUUCAAAUGUUCAUAUUGUCUGUACGGUGGUUCAGACGAAUCCUAUCUACUGGGUGAAGGCCGUCCAUGCGCAGGUUUCCCCGUGCUCGAGUGCUGCACGUGCGACACUCGCCUUCAUGGCGUCCGUCGGUGUUCUCCUCGCCUAUGUCAUAUAAACGACAGCUGUCGAUUGCUUCGGCGUCAUUGCAAUAUGCCGUACAUGUUGCCUUUGAGCAAUUUACAGGGCCUUCAAUAUAAAUAUUGAAACUAAUUUCUUUCUUAUAUAUAAUACGUGAGGUCAUAUUUUUUACAACUUCAAUAUGUACAAUGGCAUUGGGCUUUAUAUAGUCAUUCAUGGAAUAUAUGUACAUUUACAUAUUCAUAUGUAUCUGUCAUACGAACAUCUUAUUAAAUUAUUAUAAAAUCAUACUGCUUUACGUUUUAUAUUAUAUUAUUGAAUUUAUUAGAUCACAAUUUCUUUCGAUUCCGUUUCACAUGUUUGUUCAUGAAAUUUGGGCCCUAAGAGAUCAUGACUUCAACACAUUAUUGCUUCUCGUAAUACCACUGUUCUGUGAGACUGAAUUGAUUUUUAAAUGUGUCAAAUAAAAGAAACUUCUUUAUCCGAUUCUAAGGUACGAAUAAAUGUCUUCAAGCAAAAUUGGUUCCUUUACUAGGACGUUGAUAAUGACACACAAGACUAGGAGAACGGCAACUGAUGAUGAGGAAUACGAUGCUGGAAAAAAGUUGCUAAUGCUUACACUGGGGUUGUUGUUGUAAUAUUUGUAGAUUUGAACCAGUAGCGUAACAUUGAGUUCGUUGUUUCGACCGAUUUGCAUACCUUGCAUCAUAAGGGCUUGAUGUAUUAACGGCUGCAAAACAAAUAAAUAAAAACAUGUGUUCGUAAGAUUAUUUUUUAUAUAAAUAUUUUUAAGUAUAAUUAUAGACAAUGCAUAUUAUUAUGUUGACGAUGACGAUAAAGAUAU
This is an RNA transcript of Dreissena polymorpha, 1701 nucleotides long. It is a transcript of the gene named putative ferric-chelate reductase 1, with no coding region annotated. The record is from RefSeq and is a predicted model, not a curated record. NCBI's taxonomy places the organism in Eukaryota, Metazoa, Mollusca, Bivalvia, Myida, Dreissenidae. The transcript is spliced from 4 exons.